Apodemus sylvaticus (European woodmouse) is the source of this 347-nucleotide long non-coding RNA. RefSeq lists it as uncharacterized. NCBI's taxonomy places the organism in Eukaryota, Metazoa, Chordata, Mammalia, Rodentia, Muridae. The transcript is spliced from 3 exons. The record is from RefSeq and is a predicted model, not a curated record.
UUUCCCUGCCCUCCUCCCUGUCAGGAGGUAACAGUGGGACCUGUCCCAGUAGGCAAAGAGCUGUGGAGAUGAUGGUGUUCUCACGAGACAUCCGUUUUCAACAGACCAGGAGACCGAGGCAGAAAGCAAGCCCUCUGGCCAAGGUCAACAAGGGUGCAGGUGGAGUCCAACUGUGUGUGAUAAAAACCAAACCAUCUCCUGCUGCCUCCAGACGCUGGGCUGGAGAGUGCCUUGGAGAGGGCUCACGGGUCCCUGAGCUUAGGCCUGUGCUGCUGGUACCAAAUGGCCACAGGAGGAUAGACCGCUGAGGGGGCCCUGGGCUCAGGGCCACCCUGCCCCCAGUUUCC